This 1344-nucleotide ribosomal RNA is filed under the name metagenome. RNAcentral's name for it is "bacterial LSU rRNA". It matches the Rfam family "Bacterial large subunit ribosomal RNA", at positions 1563 to 2925 of the family's 2925-position model. The record is from RNAcentral.
CCGUGUGGACUGAAAAUAAGUAGGGAAGCACGUGAGCUGACUGUCAAGAAAAGCCGCUAUUGUUUGCAGGAUACCCGUACCGUAAACCGACACAGGUGGAUGAGGAGAGAAUCCUAAGGCCGACGGGAGAAGCAUUGUUAAGGAACUCGGCAAAAUGACUCCGUAACUUCGGGAGAAGGAGUGCCAGUAAGAUGGCCGCAGAGAAUUGGCCCAAGCAACUGUUUAGCAAAAACACAGGUCUAUGCAAAACCGAAAGGUGAGGUAUAUGGGCUGACGCCUGCCCGGUGCUGGAAGGUUAAGGGGAGAGGUUAGCGCAAGCGAAGCUUUGAACUUAAGCCCCAGUAAACGGCGGCCGUAACGAUAACGGUCCUAAGGUAGCGAAAUUCCUUGUCGGGUAAGUUCCGACCCGCACGAAAGGCGUAAUGAUUUGGGCACUGUCUCAACAAUGCACCCGGUGAAAUUGAAAUACCAGUGAAGAUGCUGGUUACCUGCGCCAGGACGGAAAGACCCCGUGGAGCUUUACUCCAGCUAGAUACUGGGAUUCGGUAUUGCAUGUACAGGAUAUGUGGGAGGCUAGGAAAUGGUAACGCCAGUUGCCAUGGAGCCAAUGUUGGGAUACCACCCUUGCAGUACUGGGUUUCUAACCAGCAGCCGUGAUCCGGCUGGGGGACAAUGUCAGGUGGGGAGUUUGACUGGGGCGGUCGCCUCCGAAAGGGUAUCGGAGGCGCUCAAAGGUUCCCUCAGAAUGGUUGGAAACCAUUCGAAGAGUGCAAAGGCAGAAGGGAGCUUGACUGCGACACCGACGGGUGGAGCAGGUACGAAAGUAGGACUUAGUGAUCCGGUGGUAUAAAGUGGGAUUGCCAUCGCUCAACGGAUAAAAGCUACCCUGGGAUAACAGGCUUAUCACUCCCAAGAGUUCACAUCGACGGAGUGGUUUGGCACCUCGAUGUCGGCUCAUCGCAUCCUGGGGCUGAAGUAGGUCCCAAGGGUUGGGCUGUUCGCCCAUUAAAGCGGUACGCGAGCUGGGUUCAGAACGUCGUGAGACAGUUCGGUCCCUAUCCGGCGUGGGCGUAAGAUAUUUGAGAGGAGCUGUCCUUAGUACGAGAGGACCGGGAUGGACUGGCCGCUGGUGUAUCUGUUGUCUUACCAAAGGCAUAGCAGAGUAGCCAAGCCGGGAAGGGAUAAACGCUGAAGGCAUCUAAGCGUGAAGCCCCCCUCAAGAUGAGAUAUCUCAUAACGUCAAGUUAGUAAGACCCCUUGAAGACGACGAGGUAGAUAGGGCAGAGGUGGAAGUGUGGUAACACAUGGAGCUGACUGUUACUAAUAGGUCGAGGGCAUAACCAA